GGAAUAGCUCAGUUUGGUAGAGCGCUGGUCUCCAAAACCAGGUGUCGGGAGUUCGAGUCUCUCUUCC
RNAcentral lists this transfer RNA (67 nucleotides) under bovine gut metagenome. It matches the Rfam family "tRNA". From Rfam's summary of the family: Transfer RNA (tRNA) molecules are approximately 80 nucleotides in length. Their secondary structure includes four short double-helical elements and three loops (D, anti-codon, and T loops). Further hydrogen bonds mediate the characteristic L-shaped molecular structure. tRNAs have two regions of fundamental functional importance: the anti-codon, which is responsible for specific mRNA codon recognition, and the 3' end, to which the tRNAs corresponding amino acid is attached (by aminoacyl-tRNA synthetases). tRNAs cope with the degeneracy of the genetic code in two manners: having more than one tRNA (with a specific anti-codon) for a particular amino acid; and 'wobble' base-pairing, i.e. permitting non-standard base-pairing at the 3rd anti-codon position. The record is from RNAcentral.